GGCUAGCUCUAGUCCAAUCGAUUUUGUCGGGGGCAAAUUUGGAGUAAAGCAUGCUACCUGUU
Molecule: non-coding RNA, 62 nt
Filed under: Trypanosoma brucei brucei TREU927
Lineage: Eukaryota; Euglenozoa; Kinetoplastea; Trypanosomatida; Trypanosomatidae
Source: RNAcentral